UGUUGAACUGUAUCAUCAAUUUUGUGUUCCAUCCUAUGUACCGUGUUUCAUGUAAUAAACAACUUGAAUUUUUGAAUUUUUUUGAAUUUAGUCGCAGAGCGCGGCGUCGGCGGGCAGCUCGCCCAUCACCAUCAGCUUCAAGAACGCGCGCGCCAGCCCCUCGCACGCGCCCGACCAGCCUCCCAACGCUGCGGCGGAGUCGCGCGUGCGGCGGCCGCACGUCGCCUUCACGGACGAAGACGAGGCGCCCGCGCACGCGCCGCCCGACCUCGCGCACAAGGGUAA
Molecule: long non-coding RNA, 285 nt
Organism: Ostrinia furnacalis (Asian corn borer)
Lineage: Eukaryota; Metazoa; Arthropoda; Insecta; Lepidoptera; Crambidae
Exons: 2
Source: RefSeq, a predicted model, not a curated record